Molecule: unclassified non-coding RNA, 2581 nt
Filed under: Hevea brasiliensis (rubber tree)
Lineage: Eukaryota; Viridiplantae; Streptophyta; Magnoliopsida; Malpighiales; Euphorbiaceae
Source: RNAcentral
AUAACUACAUUUUUUUUUUCACAUCCAAUAUAACAAUCCCAAAAUUAAUAUACAAACCCUCAAAACCAUAUAUAUAUCUUCUAGAUGUAGCCUAGAAAAUCUAUCUAUUUUUGAAGAACUUAAAUGGUUCUUCAUCUCCAAUGUAUAAAGACUAUGUAACUAUGUAAAACUUGUUUCUUGAUUCUUUACACUACCAUUAUAUGAUAGAAUGAGAAACAAUAUACUAAAACAUGUAUCAUUUUUCAUCAUGUUCUUGUUUAGCGACAUACAGUAUAUACUGUAUACUGUAUAUCGCUAAUGCAUGUUCAUGUUUAGCGACAGAAGUUUUCAGUCGCUAAGUUAGCGACUGAAGUUAUCUGUCGCUAAAACAUGUUCUUGUUUAGCGACAGAUGUUUGUCUGUCGCUAAAUUUAGUUUAUCAGGUAACAAAAUCUGGUAACAAGGGAGCGGCGAACCUCUUCCUGUUUUGAAUGUUGAAGUUUUCGUAGACAUUUGAUGUUGAGUGAGCUGAUGUUGGUGUGUUUAAGCUACCAAACUCAUGAUUUGGUUCACCAAUUUGAACGUUUUGAGUCGGAAUUGGAAGGAAACUGUGGUGUGUUGCUGACAUUGAGAGGUUUUCGUUGUGUGGUAGGCCGAGAGUGAGUGAAACUGUGCCACUAGUUGAGUAUGGUGCUGAGAAUUGCUCGGUGCUAAACCGAGCAAUUUCACCAAUGGGAUAGGCUCCGAAUCCUCCCAUGAAGUUCAUCGGUCCUCCCAUUAGUGAAAAUCCAUCUCUGUCCUGCCUAUCAUCACCAAACUUCAUCGACAUUUGCUCCUCGUUUGGCUUUACAUCCAUGUUGAUAGAUGGAAUGCUGUUUGGUGAAUGCUGCAACAUCUCGUUGCUCCUCGGUUUCUUUGGACUCCCUUGAGUAACGUUGAUGCUUUCGAUAUCUGGUGAUCCAAUCAGGUUGAAACCAGCAGACUGAUUACGGAUGUUCAUACCGAUAGGGGGUAUGGAAGUGGCGUUGGACAUCGGUAUUGAUGAAGCAGGGUUGUCCUGUUUUUGGCUAUCUGAACCAGGGCUUUUGUCUUGUGUAGCAAUGGAUCUUGAUGUUGUUGAAUCUUCGUUUUGUUCGCCUACUUUACUCGUCUUUUCUUGACCCAACGUGUUCUGUUCGUGUUCUUUUAUCUCUUCCAAGUACAUCUCUUCCACCAUUGGUUUCCAAAGACGAACUCGAGCAUUGAUGAACCAAUUCGACACCUGACUCCUAGUUAGCCCUGUUUGUUUUGCUAGCAUCAUUUUGUCUGAAUCCUUGGGAUAAGGAUGGAGGAAAUGUUCAAAAAGCCAAGCGCGGAGAACAGAAACAGCUCGUUCGGGCAAUCCUCUCUGAGGUCUCCAAGCAUUAUGCUGGAUCAUUCCUAAUUGUUGCAAAGCUCUUUGUUGUCUUAGCUGAUUAUCGACGAAUUUGAGCCUUGAACCUUCAAUCUUCCCUCCCAAACUGUCUUCUUCGCCUAACGUCUUGCUUGCUGCUCGUAUUUGACCAAUUAUCGCGUCUUUUAGACACCUAAAUUGCUUCGAAAUCGUCUGCAAUGCCAAUGCUGUAUAUGUUUUUGCUGAUCCAAUACCAGCAGCUUGCUCUAACCAAUUUAUCACAGACUGCAUUUGGUGAUGAUAAUGUCUAUACCUCUGCUCCACCUCGUCAAGCAUGUUGACAAGUUUUGCUUUCUUCAUUUGAAUUUCUUGUCUCUCCGCGGUACUUAGCUCAUUGGUUGGAGCUCCGUCUUUCUCUGCUGGUCCAACUCCGUCUAACUGUACAUCCAUAUCGACCAUAUUUUUCGAUUUUUUGACAUCAUUAUAAACAACAACUUCAGUACUAUUACUACUUUUCAUUGAUUUUCCAACAUUUACAACUUCAUCAAGUAGCUCUUGUGCAGCCUUCAUGUACUUAGAACUCAAAGGAACACUACAAAUGCUCUGUUGUUGUUGUUGUUGCUGCUGUUGUAUCCCCGAAGCCGAACCCGAACCCGUAGGCGAAGAAACAAUCUCACGCGCCGCCGUGAAGCUCCCAAAACUCGGCUGCUGGGAUGAGGACAAGCUAAGGGAAAGCCCUUGUUGCUGCUGCUGAUGAGCGCGUGUGACCUCACGCGCCGCCGUGAUGUCAUUAGCCGGGUUGUAGAACCCGUAUGGAGACGAUCGAGCAAGGAAGCCGUGAAGGCCGGAGAAAGACUCGUUGUUGUUGUUGUUGUUGCCGGAGUCUUGAGAUGGGGCGGUGAAGGCGGCGGUGGCGAGAGGUAUACCGACAAAUUGUUGUUGUUGUGACGGCGGAGGUGGUGGCGCGUGAGAUAAGUUUAUUGAAUUUCCAAGAGGGUUGGAGUUGAAGAAAACUAUGUUACUGCCGCCGCCGCCUUGCGGUGGCGGUGGUGGCGCGUGGUGAUGUUGUGCUUCAGAAAAUCCAACAUAGCCAGGAUUCAUUAGUAUUAGAGUUUGUAAUCCAUCAUUUCCUUCUUGUAUUUCUGAAUUUCCAUGAAAAUAAGAAGCCAUUCUUUUUUUUUAAAUUUUUUUUUCUCCACAAUAAUAUAAACAAAUAACACCAACUAAUCAA